RNAcentral lists this transfer RNA (65 nucleotides) under Dipodomys ordii (Ord's kangaroo rat). It matches the Rfam family "tRNA". From Rfam's summary of the family: Transfer RNA (tRNA) molecules are approximately 80 nucleotides in length. Their secondary structure includes four short double-helical elements and three loops (D, anti-codon, and T loops). Further hydrogen bonds mediate the characteristic L-shaped molecular structure. tRNAs have two regions of fundamental functional importance: the anti-codon, which is responsible for specific mRNA codon recognition, and the 3' end, to which the tRNAs corresponding amino acid is attached (by aminoacyl-tRNA synthetases). tRNAs cope with the degeneracy of the genetic code in two manners: having more than one tRNA (with a specific anti-codon) for a particular amino acid; and 'wobble' base-pairing, i.e. permitting non-standard base-pairing at the 3rd anti-codon position. The record is from Rfam by way of RNAcentral. Lineage: Eukaryota; Metazoa; Chordata; Mammalia; Rodentia; Heteromyidae.
GGUGGCUCAGUGGUAGAGCGCUUGCUUUGUAUACAUGAAGCCCUGGGUUCAAUUCCUCAGCACCA